RNAcentral lists this non-coding RNA (29 nucleotides) under Rattus norvegicus (Norway rat). Lineage: Eukaryota; Metazoa; Chordata; Mammalia; Rodentia; Muridae. The record is from RNAcentral.
UAGGUAAACUGGAACCUUGUCCUUGGAGC